CUCAUUACUCCGAAGAAUAAACCUCCAACUUGCUGCCAGGAAGUAGGGAAAGGGCUGCUGCAUGAACGCACACGUGAGUGGAGACGUGAUGGGUUCAACCACACUGUGGGCCAACUUCCAGCAAACGCCCUUUUUUGCUGUGAGCUUUGUUCUCACCUUCCUUUUCAAAUAUUCAUUUCUUAUAAACACUGAGCAACCCAGAGGUUCUUCAGGGUGAAGCAGCUCUGUUCCCACUUGUCUGCAAGCAAUUGGCUUUCUCCUUUCUUCGUUCUGCCAAGGAAAUGAAUGUGAUGAUGUGAUGGCUGGAACGUUGGCAGUCAUCUUAGACCCAGGGACUGAAAACGGCUUGAGGAGAAAUGUGGAGCAAAGAGAUUGAAGGAACUUGGAUCCUUACCGACCUGGCACUAUCUCCUGCAGACUUGUUUUUCACGAGAGAGGAAUAAACGUCUAUCUUUCAACGGAUGGCUGCUGGGGAAUGACAGUGACUGGGACCCACACACAACCCCGGAAGGACAAGUGGAGGAGGCGUGCACAGCUGGGGAGUGACAGGCUACUGAGCCUUGGAGACAUACCCUUUCUCCUCUGCAGUCCCAUCCCCCUCAGCCUGCAGACAGAACAACUGAGCCUCAACAAUCGUCUGCAUGGCUGUUAAGGGUCUUGGAGGGGAGAAGCUGCCAAGAGCCAGGCAAGCCUGCAAUUAUGGUAAUGAAAUCAGUCUCUGGGUAGAAGAUAAGGGGGAACAUGCCCAAUGGUUUUGGUAUUCCAUUUGUAUUCAGACUGGAGUCAAAGGGAUUGCCUAAACAAAACGUGCCCUGCAAUUUCUCCAAGCUGGGAAUAAAAACAAUUUCAUGUUUUAAGCUA
Long non-coding RNA from Myotis myotis, 861 nucleotides. RefSeq lists it as uncharacterized. The record is from RefSeq and is a predicted model, not a curated record. The transcript is spliced from 3 exons. Lineage: Eukaryota; Metazoa; Chordata; Mammalia; Chiroptera; Vespertilionidae.